RNAcentral lists this ribosomal RNA (468 nucleotides) under uncultured bacterium. RNAcentral describes it as "partial 16S ribosomal RNA". It matches the Rfam family "Bacterial small subunit ribosomal RNA", at positions 28 to 507 of the family's 1533-position model. The record is from RNAcentral.
GACGAACGCUGGCGGCGGGCUUAACACAUGCAAGUCGAACGGAAAGGCCCUGCUUUUGUGGGGUGCUCGAGUGGCGAACGGGUGAGUAACACGUGAGUAACCUGCCCUUGACGUUGGGAUAACUUCAGGAAACUGGGGCUAAUACCGGAUAGGAGCUCCUGCUGCAUGGUGGGGGUUGGAAAGUUUCGGCGGUUGGGGCUGUACUCGCGUCUUAUCAGCUUGUUGGUGGGGUAGUGGCUUACCAAGGCUUUGACGGGUAGCCGGCCUGAGAGGGUGACGGGCCACGGUGGGACCGCGAUACGGCGCAGACUCCUACGGGAGUCAGCAGUGGGGAGUAUUGCACAAUGGGCGGAGCCCUGAUGCAGAAGCGCCGCGUGCGGGCUGACGGCCUUCGGGUUGUAAACGGCUUUAGCCUGUGACGAAGGGUGGGUGACGGUACCGGGUAAAGAAGCACCGGCUAACUCCGUG